Molecule: ribosomal RNA, 253 nt
Filed under: uncultured bacterium
Lineage: Bacteria
Also listed under: 1 other name
Description: partial 16S ribosomal RNA
Rfam family: Bacterial small subunit ribosomal RNA
Source: RNAcentral
GACGGAGGAUGCAAGCGUUAUCCGGAAUGAUUGGGCGUAAAGCGUCUGUAGGUGGUUUUUAAAGUCUUCUGUCAAAGAUUAGGGCUUAACCCUGGGCCGGCAGAAGAAACUUAGAAGCUUGAGUUCGGUAGGGGCAGAGGGAAUUCCCGGUGUAGCGGUGAAAUGCGUAGAUAUCGGGAAGAACACCAAUGGCGAAAGCACUCUGCUGGGCCGCGACUGACACUGAGAGACGAAAGCUAGGGGAGCAAACGGG